RNAcentral lists this ribosomal RNA (500 nucleotides) under uncultured bacterium. RNAcentral describes it as "bacterial SSU rRNA". It matches the Rfam family "Bacterial small subunit ribosomal RNA", at positions 501 to 1000 of the family's 1533-position model. The record is from RNAcentral.
CUACGUGCCAGCAGCCGCGGUAAUACGGAGGGUGCGAGCGUUAAUCGGAAUAACUGGGCGUAAAGGGCACGCAGGCGGUGACUUAAGUGAGGUGUGAAAGCCCCGGGCUUAACCUGGGAAUUGCAUUUCAUACUGGGUCGCUAGAGUACUUUAGGGAGGGGUAGAAUUCCACGUGUAGCGGUGAAACGCGUAGAGAUGUGGAGGAAUACCGAAGGCGAAGGCAGCCCCUUGGGAAUGUACUGACGCUCAUGUGCGAAAGCGUGGGGAGCAAACAGGAUUAGAUACCCUGGUAGUCCACGCCCUAAACGAUGUCAAUUAGCUGUUGGGCAACUUGAUUGCUUAGUAGCGUAGCUAACGCGUGAAAUCGACCGCCUGGGGAGUACGGUCGCAAGAUUAAAACUCAAAGGAAUUGACGGGGACCCGCACAAGCGGUGGAUGAUGUGGAUUAAUUCGAUGCAACGCGAAGAACCUUACCUACUCUUGACAUCCAGAGAACAUUC